Molecule: ribosomal RNA, 404 nt
Filed under: uncultured bacterium
Lineage: Bacteria
Description: partial 16S ribosomal RNA
Rfam family: Bacterial small subunit ribosomal RNA
Source: RNAcentral
AUUGAACGCUGGCGGCAGGCCUAACACAUGCAAGUCGAGCGAGCGGCGGACGGGUGAGUAAUGCCUGGGACUUGCCCAGUCGAGGGGGAUAACAGUUGGAAACGACUGCUAAUACCGCAUACGAUUGGAUUGCCCAGUGGGGAUUAGCUAGUUGGUGAGGUAAUGGCUCACCAAGGCGACGAUCCCUCGCGGGUCCGAGAGGAUGAUCAGCCAAACGGGAACUGAGAAACGGUCCAGACUCCUACGGGAGGCAGCAGUGGGAAAUAUUGCACAAUGGGGGAAACCCUGAUGAAGCAAGGCCGCGUGUGGGAAGAAGGCCUUCGGGUUGGAAAGCACGUUCAGCGAGGAGGCGUUACUCGCAGAAGAAGCACCGGCUAACUCCGUGCCAGCAGCCGCGGUAAUAC